Molecule: ribosomal RNA, 406 nt
Filed under: uncultured bacterium
Lineage: Bacteria
Description: partial 16S ribosomal RNA
Rfam family: Bacterial small subunit ribosomal RNA
Source: RNAcentral
AUUGAACGCUGGCGGCGUGCCUAAUACAUGCAAGUCGAACGAGUGGCGGACGGGUGAGUAACACGUGGGAACCUACCCAUCAGAGGGGGAUAACUACUGGAAACGGUGGCUAAUACCGCAUACUAUCGGAUGAAACCGUAGGGGAUUAGUUAGUAGGGGGGGUAAAGGCUCACCUAGGCGACGAUCUCUAGCCGGUCUGAGAGGAUGAUCAGCCACACUUGGACGGAGACACGGCCCAGACUCCUACGGGAGGCAGCAGUGGGGAAUAUUGCACAAUGGGCGCAAGCCUGAUGCAGCAAUGCCGCGUGUAUGAAGAAGGCCUUAGGGUUGUAAAGUACUUUCAGCGGGGAGGCGUUACCCGCAGAAGAAGCACCGGCUAACUCCGUGCCAGCAGCCGCGGUAAUUC